UACGUAGGGGGCAAGCGUUGUCCGGAAUCAUUGGGCGUAAAGAGCGUGUAGGCGGCUCGGUAAGUCCGCUGUGAAAGUCCAGGGCUCAACCCUGGAAUGCCGGUGGAAACUGUCGAGCUAGAGUCCGGAAGAGGCGAGUGGAAUUCCUGGUGUAGCGGUGAAAUGCGCAGAUAUCAGGAGGAACACCAAUGGCGAAGGCAGCUCGCUGGGACGGUACUGACGCUGUGACGCGAAAGCGUGGGGAGCAAACAGG
Molecule: ribosomal RNA, 253 nt
Filed under: uncultured bacterium
Lineage: Bacteria
Description: partial 16S ribosomal RNA
Rfam family: Bacterial small subunit ribosomal RNA
Source: RNAcentral